Molecule: long non-coding RNA, 216 nt
Filed under: Elaeis guineensis (African oil palm)
Lineage: Eukaryota; Viridiplantae; Streptophyta; Magnoliopsida; Arecales; Arecaceae
Description: long non-coding RNA (EGUI_LNC043427)
Source: RNAcentral
AUAAGGAGUAAUCCUAUUUAGAUCAUGACACUGAGUCCUAAAGCCCAUAGUCAUGGCAGUGUGAAUGAUGAAAAAGUAUUUUCAUAAGAUUUCACAUUGGACUCAAGUCGAUUGAUUCUAGCAUAUGAUAAGAAUCAGGUUUGAUAAAUUAUCCUUAACCUCCAUCUUGUUGGGACUCACGAUAGAAGAACUGAAUUACACGACAACCGUACCUAG